GACACAGGUGGGUGAGGAGAGUAUCCUAAGGCCAGCGAGAGAACUAUUGUUAAGGAACUCGGCAAAAUGACCCCGUAACUUAGGGAGAAGGGGUGCCUGUCUAUGACAGGCCGCAGAGAAUAGGCCCAAGCGACUGUUUACCAAAAACACAGGUUUCUGCUAAGUCGCAAGACGAUGUAUAGGAGCUGACGCCUGCCCGGUGCUGGAAGGUUAAGGGGAUCUGUUAGAGCAAUCGAAGCAGUGAACUUAAGCCCCAGUAAACGGCUGCCGUAACGAUAACGGUCCUAAGGUAGCGAAAUUCCUUGUCGGGUAAGUUCCGACCCGCACGAAAGGCGUAACGAUUUGGGCACUGUCUCAACAAUAGACUCGGUGAAAUUGUAAUCCCGGUGAAGAUGCCGGGUACCUGCGACAGGACGGAAAGACCCCAUGGAGCUUUACUGUAGCUUGACGUUGGGUCUUGGUACUACAUGUACAGGAUAGGUGGGAGACUAUGAAGCAUGGACGCCAGUCUGUGUGGAGUCAUCCUUGGGAUACCACCCUUGUAGUACUGGGAUCCUAACCAUAGGCCUUGAAUCAGGUCUUGGAACACCGUCAGGUGGGCAGUUUGACUGGGGCGGUCGCCUCCUAAAAAGUAACGGAGGCGCUCAAAGGUUUCCUCAGCACGGUCGGAAAUCGUGCGAAGAGUGUAAAGGCAAAAGGAAGCUUGAUUGCAAGACAUACAGGUCGAGCAAGGACGAAAGUCGGACUUAGUGAUCCGGUGGUACCGCAUGGAAGGGCCAUCGCUCAACGGAUAAAAGCUACCCUGGGGAUAACAGGCUUAUCUCCCCCAAGAGUCCACAUCGACGGGGAGGUUUGGCACCUCGAUGUCGGCUCAUCACAUCCUGGGGCUGUAGUAGGUCCCAAGGGUUGGGCUGUUCGCCCAUUAAAGUGGUACGCGAGCUGGGUUCAGAACGUCGUGAGACAGUUCGGUCCCUAUCCGUCGCAGGCGUAGGAAAUUUGAGAAGACCUGUCCUUAGUACGAGAGGACCGGGAUGGACGUACCUCUGGUGUACCAGUUGUUCUGCCAAGGGCAUGGCUGGGUAGCUAUGUACGGAAUGGAUAAGCGCUGAAAGCAUCUAAGCGCGAAGCCAACUUCAAGAUAAGAUUUCCCACCGUAAGGGUAAGACCCCAGGAAGACUACCUGGUUGAUAGGUCGAAGGUGUAAGUGCAGUAAUGUAUUUAGCUUAUCGAUACUAAUAGGUCGAGGACUUGACCAG
Molecule: ribosomal RNA, 1256 nt
Filed under: metagenome
Description: bacterial LSU rRNA
Rfam family: Bacterial large subunit ribosomal RNA
Source: RNAcentral